AUCAGCCUUUUCGGGUGCGAUUCUGUGGGGUUUGAGGAGCUUAACACCUUCAUGCUUUGCAUAUUCGUGCUCUUGGGUGUACUUGCCCGUGUGGUUGGUUAACAUCAAUUUCGGGCACCAUAAAAUGGCUGGAGGAAUGUAGCUUCGAUCUUGUAUUGAAGUGUUAUAGCCUUCGGUAGAUGUGGUGAUCGAGAUUGAGGAUUGCAACGGAUACCUUUCGGGGCUACCUGUCUGAUCUCUGAUCGUUGCUUUGGUGCUGAAAGCGUGCUUAUAGUUAUCAAAGUCGAUGGUCAAUAGGUUAGAAUGGGUUAAAUUCGUUAAGGAUGUUGACGUAAUGGCUUU
This 342-nucleotide ribosomal RNA is filed under the name uncultured Glomeromycotina. RNAcentral describes it as "eukaryotic LSU rRNA". Lineage: Eukaryota; Fungi; Glomeromycota. The record is from RNAcentral.